AUGUUAUUUAAUAUUAUUGUGAAUUAUAUCAUUUUCAUCAUAAAAAAAUUAAGAGAUAUAGCACAAUAUUGAUUUUAGUCCAUUUAUUCAAUACAAAACGCUUGGGAAGGAAUAGGGUAUUUACAAUCCAGUAUGGUGUUUGAGGUGAAAAAAAAUUUUAAAAAGGUACAAAAAGUGUCAAAUAUACGCGCGCAAAAAACGCCCUCAAAAAUGUAUUCCUGUACAAAACAAUUUAGAUUUGAUAUUAUAAAGUGAGAGUAUUACGUUUUUUCUUUACAUAAGUAAUAAUGUGAAAAAAAAUGCGCCGACCAUAAAAAUGGAUGUUUAUACGAAAUAGAAAAUCCCAAUAUCAAUCUUUAGUCUGAUGCGGGCUUAACAAAAAACCAAACUGUGAAUGCCAGCCAAAGAAUAAUAAUAAAAAGUAGAUGUUCUAUUUCGUAUAAACAUCCAUUUUUAUGGUUGGCGCAUUUUCUUAAUAUCAUUAUUUUUGUAGGCAAAAAAAUUUAAUACUCUUAUUUUGUAGUGUCAAAUCUAAGUUGUUUUGUACAAGAAUACAUUUUUGAGAGCGUUUUUUGCGCGCGUAUAUCCCAAUAAGACAGUUACGUGACAUCCAUGUGUAAUCUAUGUGAUUUACAUGGAUGCAGGUUUUUCUAUAAGUUAUCCACGUGAAUGCAACGUUCUUUUUUCAUCAUUGCAUCGAAUUCUUUUAUCUUCGAAAUAUAUAUUAGAUUUUUUGUGGAUAUUAAGAAAUAUUUAUAGGGAAUUUACAUGGAUAUUUCGAGAAACGCCGCGCGCUCGUCCGCCAGUUAGUGCACGGCGCCGUCAGGCGGCGUAACUCUCUUAGGAGUAAGGUGCACCCAAUGCGCUAUAUAAAGACCACUUGCAGCACGAUUAAGACAAGCAGUAAUUAGCUUCCUGCCCGAUUUGGAAGAGAACCGCCACAUAAUACUUUUAUGAUUUACUCAUUUUAAUUAAGUGAACAAUCCGCUACAAGAAAAUUGAUCUUCACUCUGGUUAAAUAAAGGAUCACUUAUCGAGCGAAAAAUUCAUUCUUAUAAAAAGUGAGAUGUCACUCCAUUUUGAAUAACUGUAUUUUACUAUCGCUUAAAGUAAAAUUCCAUUCUUUUGGAGUAACGUUUUACUCCAAGAAAUUUAGAGAAUACGUUAUGUUAUGAAGAAGUUUCUAAAAUUUAUAGAAUUUUUACGUGGUUUCUACGUCAAAUCUAUGAUCGCAUUCACAUAGAUUCUAGUACCGUUUUUAAGCAAAUGUCCACUCGAAUAUUCACGAGGAUUUCACGAUGUUGAUCCACGUAGCAUUAACGCGGACAUUACGUAUUAUUUUAUUGGGGUACUUGGCGCUUUUUUGUACUUUUUUUUAAAAAAGGUAAUUUUGCUAUGAUUUCACUUCUUUUGUAGUUUCAGGUAUGUCAUUUUGUUGAGUAAUGUAUAUGGAGAUUCUUAAGACAAUUUUAAAAUCCGUAUCAAAUUAAAAAUUGAGAUUGAAAUGAUUUUGUCGAUGUCAUUCAAGGUCAACUAUAUAUUUUCAUCACAUUUUCUUCUUAAUAGUCUAUAAACUUUGACUGAAAUGUUUUUACCUUAGUAAACCUAGCACUCCUACCACUAAAAAAAAAGGUAUAAUUUUCUGCUAAUUAUUUGCUAAUUUUUUUCUCUAGUCCUUAAUUUUUUGCUCCUACCUGUUUGCAGGAAAUUAAGAACAAAAAUAUGAAUGCCAGUCUAUGUGACGCUAGCACCCUCACUAAUAAAAAAAUGCAUAAACAAAAAAACAACUACAUCAAAAUUUUCUGCUUAUUUUGUGCUUUAAAAUACUGUAAACAUAUAUUAAAAAUAUUGAAUUAGUUAUCAAAGUAUCAGUACCGUCGUAAUGUAACGGUAUAAGAGAAAAUGAUUAAAAAUCAGAAGCUAAUCAUACAUGACAGACAUAAAGGUAUUUCUCAAUCAAAUAUUCGUAAAAUAUGCAAUUAAAAUUUUAAACUUACAAAAUAACCUUUGUGUCUGAUGGGACGUAUACGCAAGGUUGCUAAAAAACAUGUUUAAAAAGAAAAACAACAAAACAUUACGUUUUUUUAAACUAAAAACGUAUUUUUUUAGUUUUAAACAUCUUUUAAACAUAUUUUUAAACAUGUACGACACAAUUCGGAUGUUGUACGUCAGAUGUCGACACAGUGAAAACGUGUCUAAACACGUUUUACACGUAGCAUAAACACAGCACGCAGAGCGCAGUUGGGAGCGUAGUAUGAAAGUUUUCCUACAUGCGACAUUUAUACAUUAUUUUCAAAGAUCUACGUGUAAAAAUAAAGAAAUAUGGGCGGAAGACGACAGGAUGCGGUUUAGCAACAUUUUAUAAGAAUUAAAGGUGAUAAUAAACCAUUGAGAGCGAAGUGUAAACACUGUGAAAAAGAAAUGUGUUCUUUAGUAGCACGUAUGAAGAUGCACAUAAAUAAGUGCAAUGUCUUAAAUAAAGAUAAAUUGUACGAAGAGAUCGACAUUGACGACAUUACAUAUAAUGAGGAUCCUCCAAUAAAUAAUGAAAACUUGAAUGAUAAUAUUGAAACUGAUGAAACUGUUAACGAAUCUUCUGAAACCAGCGUCACCAGCACUGAAUUUAACAUUCAAAGUGAACGAAGCAAAACAGUUAAUCUCUUUGGAACUGUCUCGCAACCGCAAACAUCAUGUUCAACAAACUCAAUAUUAACGACUUCAUUAAAAUCAGGAAUAUCAAGCAAAAAUUUACAUUCUUUUGUAAUAAAAACAACAAAUUUAGAAAAAAUUUAUUGAUUUACAGAUAGCAAAGUUUAUAUAUAGUACAAAUUCAUUGUUUCGGCUUGUGGAACAUAAAAAAUUUAAAAAAAUGGUUGAUUUGUUACGUCCAGGGUACAAACCGCCAAGUCGCCAUCAAAUUGCUAAUGAAUUAUUAGAAAAUGUUUUUAUUUCCAUAAAACAAAGUGUAGAAAAAAAUUUUAAAGAUAAGAUAUAUGGCGAUGAAGGGCUGGAGUAAUCUUCAUGUCGAGCCAAUAGUUUGCAUCUCAAUAACCGACGUAUUAGAAGGAAAUAUUCAUUUGAUAGAUACAAUAGAUACUGCUGACAACAAGCACACUGCAGAUUACAUAUUAAAAUUAGCUGUCAAAGCAAAUAAAAAGUUGCCAAAAAUUUCGUUGUUUUAUUAAAAGUUUUGUAACUGACAACGCAAGUAAUAUGGCAAAAAUGCGAAGUCAACUUUCACAAUAUGAGGAAAUAGAUAUGCCAGAUAUAAUAACAUACGGUUGUUCAGCGCAUAUUUUGCAUUUAUUAGCAAAAGAUAUCGACGUGCCAGAACUGAAAGAAAAGACUUUGCAAUAAAUAUUCUCUAAAUCGCCAUGGAUACAACCUACUGUUGACUACAGCACGCCUCUUGGUCUACACGUGGAUCAGAAAAUAUAAAUUUCAGGUUACUAAUAUUUUUCUCUACUUAGAAAAGAUGAAUAACUCAAAGACAAAAUUAACAUAAAACUUUUUGCAGAAGACCUAAAACGUUGCACUAAAUAUGACAAGAAUGAUUAUAUGAAAAAUAUUUUGCAAUUAAAAAAACAAAAGUUAGAGAAGGAUAGAAAAUAUAAAAAUAAAAAACUUGAUAUUUUGAGAGAGAUUCAAAAGAAAAUGUGUUAAAAAGAAAUCAAUAAUGUUAUGUUCCUCAACACUUCAUUAUAUGUGUAUUUAGACUUUAUUUUCCAAAGAUUUUGUUAUACUACCCUUAUAGAAAUUUUAUCCUGGCAGUACUAAAUUGGCCAGUGAUUAAUUACUUAUUUUGAGUAUUAAAAGCAUUAAAAACAUUGCUUUUAAUACUCAAAAUAAGUAAUUAAUCAUUGGCUAAUUUAAUACUACUAGUAUUAACUUUCUAUAAAAAUAUACUAUAACGUAAUAUAGUUUAAAAGUUUUACUUUUCUAAUUUUUAAGAAGUAUAAACCGCAAAGAAGAGUGAUUAAUAGCAAUAUAUACAUAAGUAAACAUAAACAGUGAUUAAUAAGUACAUGCAUAAAAUGUAUAUUAAUUUGUUACUUACCAGUGUAAUAAUUAAUUAAAAAUUAAUUAUUAAACCAUUAAUUCUUGAACAAUUAAUUAACAAUUUAUUCCAUUAAACAAUUAAUUGAAAAUCAAACUUUGUAUUAAUUCAGUUAUUUCUUAGGAUAGUAAGAUAAUUUUUUAUUUGUUCUCUUCUGAUGACUCCUUGUUGCUGUUGUUCUGGAAUAACUUCCAAAGGCCCGGGAUCUUCCUCUGGGUCGUCUAGGAAGAUAACUGGGUAUUCAAUCUCAUCUUCUUUCGUGAGACAGAUAUUAUGGAGAACACAACAAAUAUUAUAUAAUAUGGUAUAAGGUCUGUUCUUCGCAUUGGCAGUUUGUCCAGCAUAUAUCUCCAUCGUCCUUUUAAUACACCUGUAGACCGUUCCACAAUCAUUCUGCUGUUAAAUGCCCAUUGUCCUUGUAUGGCAUCACAAAUUUUUGCAGAGUGUAAGUUGGAGCCUAUGAGGUAAUUAUCGUUGUCAAAAUAAUUAUUGUUACAUUUUUGUUGUAUUCCAGAAUAUUUAAACAUUCUCAUGUCGUGCACCGAUCCUGGCAUUUCAGCAUAGCAGUGAAUAAAUUUUCUUUUUUUUGUUGCAGACUACCUGUAAACGAGAUGCCCGAUGUUUACUGAGUGUUUUAUGCUUUUCUCUAAAAUAAAA
Molecule: long non-coding RNA, 4714 nt
Filed under: Monomorium pharaonis (pharaoh ant)
Lineage: Eukaryota; Metazoa; Arthropoda; Insecta; Hymenoptera; Formicidae
Description: uncharacterized LOC105829997, transcript variant X1
Source: RNAcentral